This 253-nucleotide ribosomal RNA is filed under the name uncultured bacterium. RNAcentral's name for it is "partial 16S ribosomal RNA". It matches the Rfam family "Bacterial small subunit ribosomal RNA", at positions 524 to 776 of the family's 1533-position model. The record is from RNAcentral.
UACAGAGGGUGCUAGCGUUGUUCGGAAUCAUUGGGCGUAAAGCGCGUGUAGGCGGUCCGGUAAGUCCGCUGUGAAAGUCGGGGGCUCAACCCUCGGAUGCCGGUGGAUACUGUCGGGCUUGAGUACGGAAGAGGCGAGUGGAAUUCCUGGUGUAGCGGUGAAAUGCGCAGAUAUCAGGAGGAACACCAAUUGCGAAGGCAGCUCGCUGGGACGUUACUGACGCUGAGACGCGAAAGCGUGGGGAGCAAACAGG